RNAcentral lists this microRNA (21 nucleotides) under Anopheles gambiae (African malaria mosquito). Its description in RNAcentral is "aga-miR-10378-5p". The record is from miRBase by way of RNAcentral. Lineage: Eukaryota; Metazoa; Arthropoda; Insecta; Diptera; Culicidae.
CGUGGUACUCUUGUGGUAAGG